UUUGAUCAUGGCUCAGAUUGAACGCUGGCGGGAUGCUUUACAUGCAAGUCGAACGGCAGCACGGACUUCGGUCUGGUGGCGAGUGGCGAACAGGUGAGUAAUGUAUCGGAACGUGCCUAGUAGCGGGGGAUAACUACACUUGAAAGCGUAGCUAAUACCACCUGCGCCCUUCGAGGAAAGCGGGGACCUUCGGGCCUCGCACUAUUAGAGCGGCCGAUAUCGGAUUAGCUAGUUGGUGGGAGUAACGGCUCACCAAGGCGACGAUCCGUAGCUGGUUUGAGAGGACGACCAGCCACACUGGGACUGAGACACGGCCCAGACUCCUACGGGAGGCAGCAGUGGGGGAAUUUUGGACAAUGGAAACACGAUCCAGCCAUCCGCGUGUGCGAUGAAGGCCUUCGGGUUGUAAGCUUUGGCGGAAAAGCUUUGGGAAUACUUUAUGUAUCAACAUUUUUCACAAAUAAAACACCAUUUAUUUUAGUACUAACAUAUUUGCGAUAUUGCAUCAAAUUACAGCAGAUCAUCAAUACAAGCAAUGAUGAGCAGUCAACGAUAAUAAAAUCUAAAGCUCUUUUGGAACUGCAUUUUUUAACUACCGAGCUAGAGUGUGUCAGAGGGAGGUGGAAUUCCGCGUGUAGCAGUGAAAUGCGUAGAUAUGCGGAGGAACACCGAUGGCGAAGGCAACCUCCUGGGAUAACACUGACGCUCAUGCACAGCGUGGGAGCAAACAGGAUUAGAUACCCUGGUAGUCCACGCCCUAAACGAUGUCAACUAGCUGUUGGGGCCUUCGGGCCUUGGUAGCGCAGCUAACGCGUGAAGUUGACCGCCUGGGAGUACGGUCGCAAGAUUAAAACUCAAAGGAAUUGACGGGGACCCGCACAAGCGGUGGAUGAUGGAUUAAUUCGAUGCAACGCGAAAAACCUUACCUACCCUUGACAUGUCUGGAAUCCCGAAAGAGAUUUGGGAGUGCUCGCAAGAGAACCGGAACACAGGUGCUGCAUGGCUGUCGUCAGCUCGUGUCGUGAGAUGUUGGGUUAAGUCCCGCAACGAGCGCAACCCUUGUCAUUAGUUGCUGAAAAGGGCACUCUAAUGAGACUGCCGGUGACAAACCGGAGGGAAGGUGGGGAUGACGUCAAGUCCUCAUGGCCCUUAUGGGUAGGGCUUCACACGUCAUACGAUGGUCGGGACAGAGGGUCGCCAACCCGCGAGAACCAAUCCCAGAAACCCGAUCGUAGUCCGGAUCGCAGUCUGCUGCAACUCGACUGCGUGGAAGUCGGAAUCGCUAGUAAUCGCGGAUCAGCAUGUCGCGGUGAAUACGUUCCCGGGUCUUGUACACACCGCCCGUCACACCAUGGGAGUGGGUUUUACCAGAAGUAGUUAGCCUAACCGUAAGGAGGCGAUUAUCACGGUAGGAUUCAUGACUGGGGUGAAGUCGUAACAAGGUAG
Molecule: ribosomal RNA, 1446 nt
Filed under: uncultured Bordetella sp.
Lineage: Bacteria; Pseudomonadati; Pseudomonadota; Betaproteobacteria; Burkholderiales; Alcaligenaceae
Description: partial 16S-23S ribosomal RNA intergenic spacer
Rfam family: Bacterial small subunit ribosomal RNA
Source: RNAcentral